GGAGAGAAAGGAAUAAAAAUAGAGAUGGUCUAUGAGAUUAUCCAUGUAUCAGGUGCAAGGAUAAAAUCGGGAGCAUAAAUUACGAAAAGUGGGACGUUCUCGUAGAUACGAACGGGUAUUAAAAAUAGCAUAUUAGCCAUUUCCCUUUCACGUAUUUACAAAAUGCUUCGCUUUAAUCAUAUAAUAUUUUAUUGUAUUGACUAAGGUGUAAUAUGAGCAAAGGGAAAGGACUAAUCCACAAUAUUCCCACAAUCCCAUCGUAACCACCCAAUAUCUCCACGAUUCCAUCAUAACCAUCCAUUAUUUCACAAUCCCAUCGUGACCAUACAAAAUCUCUCCCACAAUCCUGGAUUCUCAUCGCACGUUUCCCUCAAAUCGGUUACAACCACCCACAUCCCACGACCCCAUCCCACGAUCCCGUAACCUCCUCACCCAUACGCACGUUUUCCUCAACCACCCUNGGUAAUUAACAAUAGACGCUUGCGUUUAUUGGAAGCCAUGGAUCCGCAAUACCUGAUAAUCAUACAUACACAUACUUUAAUCUACAUCAUGAAUACUACCCCACGGUGGAAAAUCAAAAUAAGAUUAACCGUGCGAGGUAUGUC
Molecule: long non-coding RNA, 605 nt
Filed under: Ananas comosus (pineapple)
Lineage: Eukaryota; Viridiplantae; Streptophyta; Magnoliopsida; Poales; Bromeliaceae
Description: long non-coding RNA (ACOM_LNC031333)
Source: RNAcentral